UACGUAGGGUGCAAGCGUUAAUCGGAAUUACUGGGCGUAAAGCGUGCGCAGGCGGUUUUGUAAGACCGGUGUGAAAUCCCCGGGCUUAACCUGGGAACUGCAUUUGUGACUGCAUAGCUAGAGUACGGUAGAGGGGGAUGGAAUUCCGCGUGUAGCAGUGAAAUGCGUAGAUAUGCGGAGGAACACCGAUGGCGAAGGCAAUCCCCUGGACCUGUACUGACGCUCAUGCACGAAAGCGUGGGGAGCAAACAGG
This 253-nucleotide ribosomal RNA is filed under the name uncultured bacterium. Its description in RNAcentral is "partial 16S ribosomal RNA". It matches the Rfam family "Bacterial small subunit ribosomal RNA", at positions 524 to 776 of the family's 1533-position model. The record is from RNAcentral.